AACGAACGCUGGCGGCAGGCCUAACACAUGCAAGUCGAGCGCUGUAGCAAUACAGAGCGGCGCACGGGUGAGUAACACGUGGGAACGUGCCCUUUGGUUCGGAAUAACCCAGGGAAACUUGGGCUAAUACCGGAUGAGCCCUAACGGGGAAAGAUUUAUCGCCGAAGGAGCGGCCCGCGUCGGAUUAGCUAGUUGGUGGGGUAAAAGCCUACCAAGGCAACGAUCCGUAGCUGGUUUGAGAGAACGACCAGCCACACUGGGACUGAGACACGGCCCAGACUCCUACGGGAGGCAGCAGUGGGGAAUCUUGGACAAUGGGGGAAACCCUGAUCCAGCCAUGCCGCGUGAGUGAUGAAGGCCCUAGGGUUGUAAAACUCUUUCGGCGGGGACGAUAAUGACGGUACCCGCAGAAGAAGCUCCGGCUAACUUCGUGCCAGCAGCCGCGGUAAUACGAAGGGGGCUAGCGUUGUUCGGAAUUACUGGGCGUAAAGCGCGCGCAGGCGGUUCUUCAAGUCAGAGGUGAAAGCCC
Molecule: ribosomal RNA, 529 nt
Filed under: uncultured bacterium
Lineage: Bacteria
Description: bacterial SSU rRNA
Rfam family: Bacterial small subunit ribosomal RNA
Source: RNAcentral